AAUGAACGCUGGCGGCGCGCCUAAUACAUGCAAGUCGAGCGAGAAGACGUAGCAAUACGUUUGUAAAGCGGCGAACGGGUGAGGAAUACAUGGGUAACCUACCCUCGAGUGGGGAAUAACUAGCCGAAAGGUUAGCUAAUACCGCGUACGCUCCUUGGACUUCGGUUCAGGGAGGAAAGCGAUACCGUGGGUAUCGCGCUCUUGGAUGGGCUCAUGUCCUAUCAG
RNAcentral lists this ribosomal RNA (225 nucleotides) under uncultured bacterium. Its description in RNAcentral is "partial 16S ribosomal RNA". It matches the Rfam family "Bacterial small subunit ribosomal RNA", at positions 29 to 244 of the family's 1533-position model. The record is from RNAcentral.